RNAcentral lists this ribosomal RNA (161 nucleotides) under uncultured bacterium. Its description in RNAcentral is "partial 16S ribosomal RNA". It matches the Rfam family "Bacterial small subunit ribosomal RNA", at positions 355 to 532 of the family's 1533-position model. The record is from RNAcentral.
UGGGGGAUAUUGCACAAUGGGGGGAACCCUGAUGCAGCGACGCCGCAUGGGUGAAGGAGCGUUUCGGCGCGUAAAGCCCUAUCGGCAGGGAAGAAGGAGGACGGUACCUGACUAAGAAGCCCCGGCUAACUACGUGCCAGCAGCCGCUGUAAUAUCUGUCU